UUUUUAUUACGCCCCGUCAGGUGGCUGGUGGCUGGCUGAGGCAUCGGCUGGUGGGCAUGACCAGGUGGUGCUGGCGUGCCAGGACAUGGCUCUGCCAAAAUGUGCCUUCAACUCCGUGGCCCAACUCUCGAUUCACCCCUCAGCAGGUCGAGUAUGUUUACAGAGGCGCCGACAAAGGCAAUAUCUAUCGACUACCAACAUGGGAAAUUGCCCGAAACGAGCUGUGGACAAACAGAUACACAAUUGGGUAAACUUGGCCAAAAUAAAUACGGAAGAACAUUAGUGCAAAUAAAAUAAAAUGCUAAUACUCGAACUACCAGCAAACCGCAAAUAUUUUGCCACAAAGUGCAACAAUAAUAAAUUCUACGCAGGCGGCCGGAAACGGAGUUGCAAGAAAAAUAAGUUAUCAGAAGUUUAUGUUUGAAUACAACAUAUUAGAAAAGUACAAUAUUUGUGGAAAAAUACAGUGACCCACUUAAUCGAAAAUGUUGUGUACAAAAACAUGAAAUGCAAUUGGAUACAAAGCACUGAAAUCAU
This is a non-coding RNA of Drosophila melanogaster (fruit fly), 537 nucleotides long. NCBI's taxonomy places the organism in Eukaryota, Metazoa, Arthropoda, Insecta, Diptera, Drosophilidae. The record is from Ensembl.